GAGCCCGGCCUACUUCCUCGCCAGAGAAACUGCCGCCAGCCCCGGCGGGAAGGGUUAAUGCCACCGAGUGUCCAGACCCGCCGAAGCCUAGAGGGCCUUGCACCGGCUCACCGCGUGGCUGUCGCUGUCUCGUUUCCCCAGUGGGGGAGGCGUCGCACUGCCACGUCUGUUCUGCGUGGCUGUCGGGCGGCGUUUGGUCCCGGGAGCCUCGCCGGAGAAACGGAGACCUAAGAAGUGACUUGCUCAGGGUCACAUAGCUCAGCAGUGGCGGCCGCUAAUCGGAAAUAGCUCUCCUGUUGUGGUAUCCUCUGCGUUUUCCACUCCAGUAUUUCUUCCCUAGAAAAUGGGAUCCUUGUUUUCAUCUUAUAUCUCAUGCAGCGCCUAACAUAGUCACCUGCACCUGGAAUGGAUAAAAGUGGCAGUUUUUGUUUCUUCCCAUGAGGUUGUGUAUCUGGAAUAAGAACCAGGAAAUUAAUCUAGACUAAGACAUUUCUAAGGACCUGGAAUGGCUUUGGGGAGCACCAGGAGGACCUGAAAAGAGUAUUUGAGGGCCUAGAGGGACAGAAGAGUUUGCCAGUAGGAUUUAUGAGAAACAAUUGAUCAGAAACAGCAGCAGAGAAACCUUUUAGAUUUCUUCUGUGGAAAAGUUGAGUCUUGGUUCAAAUUAAGUAAAAUAAACCCUGAAGAGAAAUCAAAGUCUCAAAUAUAAAAAGUAUGUUACUUAUAAU
Molecule: small RNA, 728 nt
Filed under: Pongo abelii (Sumatran orangutan)
Lineage: Eukaryota; Metazoa; Chordata; Mammalia; Primates; Hominidae
Description: processed transcript
Source: RNAcentral